RNAcentral lists this long non-coding RNA (435 nucleotides) under Phoenix dactylifera (date palm). RNAcentral's name for it is "long non-coding RNA (PDAC_LNC001559)". Lineage: Eukaryota; Viridiplantae; Streptophyta; Magnoliopsida; Arecales; Arecaceae. The record is from RNAcentral.
UAAUAUGCAAGAUCUUGUUAUUAUCUAAAAGAAUCACUUAGGAAGUUCUACCUACAUACACAUUAGGGCCACAUAUAUAGAAGACCAUAUUAGCCUUUUUUAUUUUUCGUACAACCAUAUUAGCCAUUUUAAUCACAUUACAAUUGGCUUUAUGAAAUCAACAGGUAUUUUACAGAAACUUUAUGUAAGGUAUGUAUAUAUCAUGUUACAUUGGUAGAUAAAAAUUAUUAUGCUUAUAACAACUAAGAAACAUCUAUCUGUUGUAGCUAUUACUAUCUAAUACUCAUAUUGAAUGCUUGAUGGUAAGUAGAUGCUUUGUGAGCUGAUAUCUAAAUUCAUAUGCAAUUUAGUCACUUGUUGGAAUAAGGCAUGAUGAUAGAGGUUGUGUAAUUUAGUUUUUAACCAAUGAUUACUCAGUUUUAUAUUACCACUCUU